ACCUGCUGAAUUUAAGCAUAUAAGUAAGCGGAGGACAAGAAACUAAACAGGAUCCCCAUAGUAAUGGCGAAUGAACCGGGAUAAACUCAGCAUGGAAAUUGGGGCCUUUGGCUUUGACUUGUAAUCUGGUGAGGCAUUGCCAACAGAGGCGCAUAUGUAAGUCUCUUGGAAAAGAGCAUCAACGAAGGUGAGAGUCCUGAUUGUCAUGUGCAGCCCCCCUGUGCACGGUGUGCCUUCUAAGAGUCACGUUCCUUGGGAUUGGAGCGCAAAUUGGGUGGUAACUUUCAUCUGAAGUUAAACAAGGGUUUGGGACCGAUAGGAAACAAGUACCAUGAGGGAAAGGUGAAAAGGACUUUGGAAAGAGAGUUAAAAGUGCCUGAAAUUGCUGAAGGGGAAGCGAAUGGAACCAGUAGUGCUGGGUGAGAUUGUCACAUGCUACAAGGAUUGGUUGCUGCCACAACGCAAGUGUGAUGGCAAUUUGUGAAUUGCUAGUGUGUGGUGUGUCUUACCUAGUGGGUCAUUGUGGGUUUAUGCAUUAAGAUAAGUCAAAGCAAGCGGGAGCAAGUUUACGAGUUUGUGAAUGUGUGUUGUUAUGCUUGUGCGUAAGCUUUAAGGUUUGUCUGGCUGCAGGGCUGUCCAUCCUCGAGCUGAGGGUUGCGAUGAGCAUAACCUUCUGCGCAGAUCUUGACGAAAUGGUUUCAUUCGACCCGUCUUGAAACACGGACCAAGG
RNAcentral lists this ribosomal RNA (730 nucleotides) under Dinophysis caudata. RNAcentral describes it as "eukaryotic LSU rRNA". It matches the Rfam family "Eukaryotic large subunit ribosomal RNA", at positions 23 to 671 of the family's 3401-position model. The record is from RNAcentral. Lineage: Eukaryota; Dinophyceae; Dinophysales; Dinophysaceae.